This is a long non-coding RNA of Nylanderia fulva, 761 nucleotides long. RefSeq lists it as uncharacterized. NCBI's taxonomy places the organism in Eukaryota, Metazoa, Arthropoda, Insecta, Hymenoptera, Formicidae. The record is from RefSeq and is a predicted model, not a curated record.
AAGAUGACAGUACUUUGGAAAUCAGUCGUAUCAAUUAUAACAGGCUUUACUGGACACACCAAAUAUUUAAAACUGUGCUUAUUUUUGCCAUUCUUUGGCUUAUCUGGAACAUAUUCAUCAAAAUAUUUGCAUAGUUGUUAGAUGUUACACUCUGCAUACAUGAAACAUUCACAAAAAGGCUUGCAUCUAAUAUAAGGAAUGUCAUAUAAAUAUGCGGAAGGUCAUCACAGUGGUCAUCAAGAUCUCGCGCUGUCGUUGGUUUUAAGUUGACUUGGAUGCCACGUGAAACCUUGUCGGGAUUUGGAAACAUUCGUGACCUAUCCCGAGAACGGGGAUUACACUGUUUGCGAUGUCAAAGAGUCAGCAGCCACUCGCCAGGAAUUCUGGCGCCACGCCAAUCGUGGAAAAAUAGGUUAUCGAUCAACCCCCCUCAAGUCUUGGUAAUAACUACAGGAUCCCUCCCUCCCAAAUCCAAAAGAGAGACAGGGAGAGAAGGGGUUAAAGAUCCGCGUCUAAGAAGUGGAAAUCUCGUGCACGGGCCCGGCGGGAUAAGCGUUAUUAAGUAUAUAUGUAUACAGUCGUGUACGAAGAAGAGCCAAAACCGUGUCGAGUUUUAUUAACUCCUUCAAUUUUAGGAGACAAUUCAAAUAUAUUUAUUAUCAUUUUAACAAUAGUGGCGAUUAAUGUAUAACAGCAAGUAAGUUUGAUCACGCAAAAUUAAUAAAGGGACAAACAAAGGACCGAAGGAAAUGAAAAAAUAA